This 691-nucleotide long non-coding RNA is filed under the name Panax ginseng (ginseng). RNAcentral describes it as "long non-coding RNA (PGIN_LNC005541)". The record is from RNAcentral. Lineage: Eukaryota; Viridiplantae; Streptophyta; Magnoliopsida; Apiales; Araliaceae.
UCAAAUUUAUUGUUACUUCAUAUAUCUUCAUAAAUGAAAUAAAUCAUCACGACACAAUCAGAUUAGUUUCUUAAUAUUAUGAUAUAGGAUCAGAGAAUGCACUUUUCUUAUGGCCUUAUAAUUAUUAUUAGUCUAUGGGGUGAAACUGCAAAACCAAUACAAGCACUUGUCAUCAAAGAAACCCAAGACGAACACGGAACACCACCUCCAAAGUGGACAUGGAACUUGGGCUCAAAGUCAUGACCAUAUGGGAACUCAGCCAAUCAUGAAAUCUUCAUCCGAUCUGAAGCCAUCCACUAUCCCAAAGCUGAACCGAUCAGUAGGAAUCCGAUCCCGAAGCCAAGACCUUAAGACAUCCGUUAUCAUCGCUCAAACCUGAAGCCCAACUCCUGAAGUCAACGAUACAGAUUAAAAUGUCAAUGUUACAAAUCAACAAAAGAAGAUGGUGUAUUUCUAAUUCUCCACACAUAAUCGUCAGUCAAAAAGCACAAAAAUAUUGAGACCGAAUCAAUGUAAAAUUGUUCGAAGAAGAAACAAAAAGAUCCAAAAAAGGUUCCCCUCUGAGUCACAAAACUAAAAUCUAAGCUCAACUCAAAAAUCAAACCAAUUGAAAACCCACAUAAUACAAAUUUGGGUUGAAACUUACCACUGUAAUUGAUGAGAGUAUGCAUGGUUAAUUGAGAAAGAAAAC